Molecule: ribosomal RNA, 489 nt
Filed under: uncultured Lactobacillus sp.
Lineage: Bacteria; Bacillati; Bacillota; Bacilli; Lactobacillales; Lactobacillaceae
Description: partial 16S ribosomal RNA
Source: RNAcentral
CACGUAGUUAGCCGUGACUUUCUGGUUGAUACCGUCAUACCGUGAGCAGUUGCUCUCACGGCUGUUCUUCUCUAACAACAGAGUUUUACGAGCCGAAACCCUUCUUCACUCACGCGGCGUUGCUCCAUCAGACUUUCGUCCAUUGUGGAAGAUUCCCUACUGCUGCCUCCCGUAGGAGUAUGGGCCGUGUCUCAGUCCCAUUGUGGCAGAUUACCCUCUCAGGUCUGCUACGUAUCAUUGCCUUGGUGAGCUAUUAUCUCACCAACUAGCUAAUACGCCGCGGGUCCAUCCAGAAGCACUAGCACAAAGGCCAGCUUUCAAACAAGAACCAUGUGGUUCUUGUUGUUAUACGGUAUUAGCAUCUGUUUCCAGGUGUUAUCCCCUUCUUCUGGGCAGGUUACCCACGUGUUACUCACCAGUUCGCCACUCAGUCGGAUCCAAAAUCAUCUUAGUGCAAGCACUAAGAAUCAAUUGGGCGACUUCGUUCGA